Molecule: RNA transcript, 1402 nt
Organism: Fragaria vesca subsp. vesca
Lineage: Eukaryota; Viridiplantae; Streptophyta; Magnoliopsida; Rosales; Rosaceae
Exons: 3
Source: RefSeq, a predicted model, not a curated record
AGACGCAAAACAUGCCGUUGACCCCAAAUUCGUCCGGCGCUCCUUGGCUUGCUUGCUAUAUAAAAGACGAUCAACCCUACUAACUAUACAAGCAUGUGUAAGUGGCUCUUUCUAAUUCGAUUCAAUUUGGAAGGCUUAUGUUCUCUGGGUAUUUUAUGUUGUCGUUAGCACCACUGUCCAUGGUGGUUGUUUCAGAUUCAUUGGGUCAUUUAUGGUUCACUAGAAUGGAUUGUGUUGGAAAUAAAGGUCCUCAUGUAUUUGGUUUCGGAAUUGGUGAGGCAGGGAGAGCAAAUGGAGGAUCUAUCUCAGCUGCGGUGUUGUUCCGAAAAGGGAACAAAUUGACAUCUUGGUCAUGUUUUGAUCAUAAGAAAAGUUGCAUAAUUGGGUGGAGAGAUAAGGACUUGCUGAUUCGGUUUAAAGAAGGGAUGUUUUAUGGUCCUUGUGCCAAACUCCUCCUUUGCUAAAAGGGGAGAACUGGAUGUUGGAGAAGCUUGGAUCAUGAUUGAUUCCCACGUAUUAUGUCAGAGAGUUGAUGGAUUGGAGGAGAAGGGAAGGAAUUGUCUCAGACUCCUUUGAAAUUAAGCUCUCUGUUCAUGUGAAUGAAGAAUAGAGUGGUUGUUGGCGUUAGUCAGAGUGCAUGAAGCCAAUAUGCCAGACUUCCCAAGUUCAAAAAUAGAGGAGCUCCAGUUACCCGGAAUGUGAUCAAUGGUGGUGUUGGCCUAAGAAAACAAAUGGAUAUCAAGUCGGCGAUAUUCCAGGUAGGGGAUUUUGGACUUGCCUCAGUUAGUGUUUUAUGCAUAUGAUAUUAAAGUAAAGUGAUUUAUGCAUGAAAGAUAUAUUUUCGAAUUCUUGUGAAUUAUUGUUUGAUGACCUGAGAGUGAGAGGGGCAUAGCGACUUCCUUGGGUUUCGAUCCCCUAAACCUCCGGAGGGGCCUUUAUGGACGGAAGAGUGUCUUACAUCCCUUGUGGAGUGGCACUACUUCUAGGCCAUAGGGCGUUUGUGGACACUCUCGCUACACUUACCUGUUGUACACAUAUAUAGUGAGGUAAGUUGGGUAGUGGGUCUAAAAAGGACCGGCCAUCAGGUACAGUUUUAUGGCGUCGCAUGUAUUUGAUUAUAGAAAUGUUUUUGAAAGUUUGUCGUUCAUUAAAUAUUUGGAUUCAAUCUUGUUUUUAUACUGGGCCCUAUGAAACUAUUUCUUUAUCUAUUUUCAAGAGUUCCUUGAGCAGCGAGGACGAAAGCUCACCCCUACAACAGUUUAUGAAUGCAGGUACUGCGUACGGGGACGGGACAGCUAGACGGCAUUGGGUGUAGCUUAGAAAUUCUAUACUUUAUGAUAUUGUCAGCAUUAAAUCCGUAUGACAGGUUUCCUUAGUUAUCGUGUUCUUGUUUAACCCUUUG